RNAcentral lists this ribosomal RNA (449 nucleotides) under uncultured bacterium. RNAcentral describes it as "partial 16S ribosomal RNA". It matches the Rfam family "Bacterial small subunit ribosomal RNA", at positions 29 to 523 of the family's 1533-position model. The record is from RNAcentral.
AACGAACGCUGGCGGCAUGCCUAACACACGCAAGUCGAACGAGAUCUUCGGGUCUAGUGGCGCACGGGUGCGUAACGCGUGGGAAUCUGCCCUUUGGUUCGGAAUAACAGUCGGAAACGACUGCUAAUACCGGAUGAUGACGAAAGUCCAGAGAUUUAUCGCCAGAGGAUGAGCCCGCGUAGGAUUAGCUAGUUGGUGUGGUAAAGGCGCACCAAGGCGACGAUCCUUAGCUGGUCUGAGAGGAUGAUCAGCCACACUGGGACUGAGACACGGCCCAGACUCCUACGGGAGGCAGCAGUGGGGAAUAUUGGACAAUGGGCGAAAGCCUGAUCCAGCAAUGCCGCGUGAGUGAUGAAGGCCUUAGGGUUGUAAAGCUCUUUUACCCGGGAUGAUAAUGACAGUGCCGGGAGAAUAAGCUCCGGCUAACUCCGUGCCAGCCGCCGCCGUAA